Non-coding RNA from Bombyx mori (domestic silkworm), 84 nucleotides. The record is from Rfam. Lineage: Eukaryota; Metazoa; Arthropoda; Insecta; Lepidoptera; Bombycidae.
UUAACUUAAAUUUGUAUGAAGUUGGAACGUUUGCCUGCGUUUGCCGCUAGGGGCGCUGUUCCAACUUUAUACAAAUUUCUGUAU